RNAcentral lists this ribosomal RNA (496 nucleotides) under uncultured bacterium. RNAcentral's name for it is "partial 16S ribosomal RNA". It matches the Rfam family "Bacterial small subunit ribosomal RNA", at positions 29 to 523 of the family's 1533-position model. The record is from RNAcentral.
AUUGAGCGCUGGCGGCAUGCCUAACAUAUGCAAGUCGCACGCGAAAGGGGGCAACCCUGAGUAGAGUGGCGGACGGGUGAGUAACGCGUAGGAAUCUACCUGGUAGUGGGGGACAACCCGGUGAAAACCGGGCUAAUACCGCAUACGAUCCACGGAUGAAAGCAGGGGACCGCAAGGCCUUGCGCUAUCAGAUGAGCCUGCGUCGGAUUAGCUAGUUGGUGGGGUAAAGGCCCACCAAGGCGACGAUCCGUAGCUGGUUUGAGAGAACGACCAGCCACACUGGGACUGAGACACGGCCCAGACGCCUACGGGAGGCAGCAGUGGGGAAUAUUGGACAAUGGGGGCAACCCUGAUCCAGCAAUGCCGCGUGUGUGAAGAAGGCCUUCGGGUUGUAAAGCACUUUCGGUGGGGACAAACAAGGUGGAGCUAACAUCUCCGCCUCUGAUGGUACCCAAAGAAGAAGCACCGGCUAACUCUGUGCCAGCCGCCGCCGUAA